This 235-nucleotide unclassified non-coding RNA is filed under the name Hevea brasiliensis (rubber tree). Lineage: Eukaryota; Viridiplantae; Streptophyta; Magnoliopsida; Malpighiales; Euphorbiaceae. The record is from RNAcentral.
GGCUCUUCCACUAUCAUUAUUCGGUGAAGAAGAAAAUGCUGAGGAAGAAGAGAAAGAAAAGUCUGCUAAAGAGGAUACGAAUACUAAAGUAAGAAACGGAUCUAAUGCUAAUUUGGGUUAUGGAUUUGAUUCAACUAAAUCUAACUUAUACAAUCAGAAGUUGAAAUCUGAAAAUGGGCCACUUUCGAAUACCGGUAAUUUGGUAGGCCUAGAUAGUGUUAAUUCGAAUUCUAAA